AUGAAGAAGGCGGCAGAUGCCGGUGCGAAGUUUGCCCGUGAGAACAGUAACACCAUAAAAGAUACCGUCAAGAACCACCUGCCUGGAGGAGACGCCCCAAAGCCGACCGAGGACACCGGCGCACCGGCGCAACGCCUCCCCAUCACCAACCGCCCGCCCCCGACCCCGCCCCCGCCCCCUCACGCCGACCUUCCCAGCACAAGGCUCAGGAACUGGGUCUACACGGAGGUCGCUCCAAGUGUGGAUCUUGUUCAUGUUGGCGAGGCGGCGGCUGUCGCUGUGGCCGUGGGGGUGGCGAUCUGGUGGCUGAAUGGGGGAUUCUAG
This 324-nucleotide ribosomal RNA is filed under the name Triticum aestivum (bread wheat). RNAcentral's name for it is "partial small subunit ribosomal RNA". The record is from RNAcentral. Lineage: Eukaryota; Viridiplantae; Streptophyta; Magnoliopsida; Poales; Poaceae.